UUACAAAGCAGUCAAGGUUUUUUUUUAACAAUGAUGUCAAAAAGCAUUUGUCUGUUCAUUAUUGUAGUGAUUUUAACUCAAGGUAUCAGUGGUGAUGAAAUCCGGUUGGAUCAGUCGUCUGCUGAGAUAAAGAGACUUGGAGAAACAGUGAAGAUCUCCUGUAAAAUAUCUGGUUUUUCAAUGACAAGCUACUGGAUGCACUGGAUACGACAGAAACCAGGGAAAGCUCUGGAGUGGAUUGGGGGAGUGAACUCUGGCAGGAGUUCUAGCUCUGAUUAUCUUAUUUAUGCAGACUCCAUGAAAAAUCACUUCACUAUGAGUGAGGACGUGUCUCAAAGUACACAGUAUCUUGAAGCCAAGAGUCUGAGAGAAGAGGACACUGCUGUUUAUUACUGUGCUCGACAGACACACUGACUCCAUCUGAUGAAGCAGCUCUACAAGAACUGACAGUAACUGAAGUGAGAAGAUUUCAAUUAGCUUGAUACCUCAAUCCACAUGAACAUUACAACAAAUUUAAUCUUGAUUGCAAUAAAAAUGUGUACAUUUUAGCUU
Molecule: non-coding RNA, 552 nt
Organism: Carassius auratus (goldfish)
Lineage: Eukaryota; Metazoa; Chordata; Actinopteri; Cypriniformes; Cyprinidae
Source: the annotation of a RefSeq genome assembly